Molecule: long non-coding RNA, 489 nt
Organism: Suricata suricatta (meerkat)
Lineage: Eukaryota; Metazoa; Chordata; Mammalia; Carnivora; Herpestidae
Exons: 3
Source: RefSeq, a predicted model, not a curated record
CAGGCCCCGUGUUCCUGCGCGCUUCUUCUCGUAUAUCUAUGAAGUUAUACUUCUGAAGAUUGGAGACACCUUAGAAAGGAAGACUCAAUAGAAUUUUGCGAAACUUGGAUAAAAAGGCUGCACCCUGCUGCUGGUUAACCCAUUUUCAAAAGGCCUGCUGACAGUCCGACAGGAAAAUUGGUACACGGAGUCUAAAGGAGAUACCAUCCCUACGGCCAGGAAAAAUCACAAAGAGUAUAUGUUAUUCGGAAGGCUAGGAGAUCAUCUCCAUUUGCAAAGCGCAGCAUAGGAAAUAAUUCCUCCUAAGGAAAUAAGCAAUUUCUCUGAUUCCUGGCUUAUACAGUCACCCCUAUUAUCUGCAGGGGAAUCCGUUCCAAGACCCCCAGUGGAUGCAUGAAACUACAGAUGAUACCGAACCACACACACACACACACACACACACACACACACACACACUGUUUGUCCCUAUACAUACACACCUACCAUAAA